UAGAGUUUGAUCAUGGCUCAGGACGAACGCUGGCGGCGUGCUUAACACAUGCAAGUCGAACGGUGAAGCCUUUCGGGGUGGAUCAGUGGCGAACGGGUGAGUAACACGUGAGUAAUCUGCCCUUGACUCCGGGAUAACUUCGGGAAACCGGAGCUAAUACCGGAUAUGACGCAUGGCCGAGUGGUCUGUGUGUGGAAAGAUUUAUUGGUCAGGGAUGAGCUCGCGGCCUAUCAGCUUGUUGGUGGGGUAAUGGCCUACCAAGGSGACGACGGGUAGCCGGCCUGAGAGGGCGACCGGCCACACUGGGACUGAGACACGGCCCAGACUCCUACGGGAGGCAGCAGUGGGGAAUAUUGCGCAAUGGGCGGAAGCCKGACGCAGCGACGCCGCGUGAGGGAUGAAGGCCUUCGGGUCGUAAACCUCUUUCAGCAGGGAAGAAGCGUGAGKGACGGUACCUGCAGAAGAAGCACCGGCUAACUACGUGCCAGCCGCCGCGGKAAUU
Molecule: ribosomal RNA, 502 nt
Filed under: uncultured Kineosporia sp.
Lineage: Bacteria; Bacillati; Actinomycetota; Actinomycetes; Kineosporiales; Kineosporiaceae
Description: bacterial SSU rRNA
Rfam family: Bacterial small subunit ribosomal RNA
Source: RNAcentral